RNAcentral lists this unclassified non-coding RNA (140 nucleotides) under soil metagenome. Its description in RNAcentral is "partial internal transcribed spacer 1". The record is from RNAcentral.
CCUAGAGUUGUAGGGCUUUGCCUGCUAUCUCUUACCCAUGUCUUUUGAGUACCUUCGUUUCCUCGGCGGGUCCGCCCGCCGAUUAGGACACUUUAAAACCAUUUGCAGUUGCAAUCAGCGUCUGAAAAACUUAAUAGUUA